Molecule: long non-coding RNA, 498 nt
Organism: Dreissena polymorpha
Lineage: Eukaryota; Metazoa; Mollusca; Bivalvia; Myida; Dreissenidae
Exons: 5
Source: RefSeq, a predicted model, not a curated record
ACACGGAAUCGAGCACCCGGGCCAGACUGACACUUUCCGGAGCCUGUCCGAGACGGAACUCGAGCCUAGGAAUCAUAGGUGCAGGUCCGGCUGAAUUGACAGGCCAUCAAAAACUGUACAGCAUGACUGAUUCGGAGACAGCCCUCAACACUCGCCCAGUCGUGUCGAGAGGAUCGGUGUCUUUGUAGAUUACACGGAAUCGAGCACCCGGGCCAGACUGACACUUUCCGGAGCCUGUCCGAGACGGAACUCGAGCCUAGGAAUCAUAGGUGCAGGUCCGGCUGAAUUGACAGGCCAUCAAAAACUGUACAGCAUGACUGAUUCGGAGACAGCCCUCAACACUCGCCCAGUCGUGUCGAGAGGAUCGGUGUCUUUGUAGAUUACACGGAAUCGAGCACCCGGGCCAGACUGACACUUUCCGGAGCCUGUCCGAGACGGAACUCGAGCCUAGGAAUCAUAGGUGCAGGUAUGGCAAAAUGCUUAAAGCUCAUGUUUGAC